Molecule: RNA transcript, 1138 nt
Organism: Capra hircus (goat)
Lineage: Eukaryota; Metazoa; Chordata; Mammalia; Artiodactyla; Bovidae
Gene name: UPF0690 protein C1orf52 homolog pseudogene
Exons: 1
Source: RefSeq, a predicted model, not a curated record
UUUCCGGCGGAGCCCUAGGCGGACCGGUGCAGCAGUCAUGGCAGCGGAAGAGAAGGAUCCUUUGAGCUAUUUCGCUGCUUACGGGAGCAGCAGCUCAGGCUCCUCGGACGAGGAGGAUAACAGCGAGCCGGAGGAGACAAGUCGUAAGGCCCAAGAUCCAGCGAAGUCGGCCGGCGGCAAUGGGAACAAGGUGGAGAAGCGGCUGCCUGGACCAGACGAGCUGUUCCGGAGCGUGAGUCGCCCGGCCUUUCUCUACAGUCCGCUCAACAAACAGAUAGACUGGGAGAGGCACGUCGUCAAAGCUCCAGAGGAGCCUCCAAAGGAAUUCAAAAUAUGGAAGUCAAACUAUGUACCACCUCCGGAGACGUACUCUACAGAGAAGAAACCUCCCCCUCCAGAGCUGGAUAUGGCAAUAAAAUGGUCCAACAUAUAUGAGGACAAUGGUGAUGAUGCCCCACAGAAUGCUAAGAAAGCUAGGCUUCUACCAGAAGGGGAGGAGACAGUGGAAUCAGAUGAUGAAAAAGAUGAGCAUACUUCUAAAAAGCGCAAAGUAGAACUGGGAGAACCAACAAAGAAGAAAAAAUAGACAAGAAUGACAAGAAUCUUUGGACUGCAAAACUUGUGGGUCUUUUUGGCAAAUUAAGUUGAUACUAUAAAUUAUUAUGAAACAACGUCUCCAUGAAAAUAUAUGUUAAUUAACUAAUGAGUAUUCCUGCUGGAACGUUCCACUGUAGAAUUCAUUUUUUAUUUAAAAAUAUGUAUUUAAAACUGAAAUGGUGACUUGUGAUUGUGUAAUUGACAAUGCUUGGAAGCAUUCUUGCUACCGCAGAAUUGGUGACAUGCUUUGAGUUUCAUCCCAAGUUGACAUGCCAAUGUUCUGUGAACCUUUUAUAAAGGAGUAUAUUUUUAAAGUAAAUACAUUGUAAUGUACUGUGAACUUGUAGGGUGCUUUUCAACAGUGUUUGUACAGUGUAAAUAGAUCAUGAAAAUAAAUUUACCGAUAUUACUGCAUAAAAAAAAAAAAAAAGAAAAAACACAGAAUACUUGAGUUCCCUUUAAAGUGGUAUGGAGGCAAGGGUCUAUGUGUUUACGUUGCUGUCGUUCAGUCGCCAAGUUGUGUCCAAUUCUUUGCGACCUA